CCCCAGAACACAAGAUGGAAGAAUUUCCAUCAUCAAAGCAGAACAUCACAGGCGGCUGCAGGCAGCCUCAGGGCAGGACACAGUUGCUAAGCAACUCUUCCAUGGGUUGGAUGUCACAUCACUCGCAACCCCAACAACGCCAGGCACAUCGAGGAUGUUUUGCACUGGGGUUUCAGUAGGAAGGCAGCCAAUAAGGGGGUUAUUUUCCUUUGCUUCCGCAGCGCUUUCCAUGCUUCACUCCCAACAAGUCCAAAACUUCCCUUACUGAUAGUCCCCUUCCAAAAAGGAUUACUGGACAUCAGUAGUUGGGAGAAGCGUUUGAGUGGACCUGUUGCCCACGGCAUAAAUACUGACAUUGGGACCAUGGAGGUAAAAAACUUACGUCUCACAAUCAGGGAAGAUGAGGUUUAUCUGCAGAGGCAGGAAGCUACAGCACAAGUUGGUAUGAGAUGCCAUCAGGAAAACACUGAAAACUGAAGACAAGAGAAGUGGUCUUACCAGCCAGAAGCAACAUGGCUGUACCAGUUUGGACUGGAAGCAGAGGACAUCGAGGCUACCCCAGGGGCUUGCAGGCAGAAGAACUGUGAAGCUAGAGCUAUAAAUUUAAUCACUGUUCAUUGAUGUGGUGAUGUUGAGUGUAUUGAUGUAUUUUAUUGCUAAGCAGUGUAUUCUGCCUGUGUCCCCCCCCCUUGAGCAGAUUAACUGCAGAUUCCAAAAUACUGUCCAGCAGUGUCAUGCAUGUCAUACUGUUUUCACUUUGCUUGCCUCCCACAUAAAAGAACAGCUGUGAAUGUCAGCUGAGGCUUAUUCCUCUUGCACCAUGGCCUAUCAUUUUUACAAAAUAAAUAAAUAAAUGGCAAUCA
RNAcentral lists this long non-coding RNA (863 nucleotides) under Anser brachyrhynchus (Pink-footed goose). RNAcentral's name for it is "lncRNA (ENSABRG00000009924.1)". The record is from RNAcentral. Lineage: Eukaryota; Metazoa; Chordata; Aves; Anseriformes; Anatidae.